Long non-coding RNA from Apus apus (common swift), 617 nucleotides. RefSeq lists it as uncharacterized. NCBI's taxonomy places the organism in Eukaryota, Metazoa, Chordata, Aves, Apodiformes, Apodidae. The transcript is spliced from 4 exons. The record is from RefSeq and is a predicted model, not a curated record.
GCCGCGGAUGAGAGCCAUUCCGCAGGGAUUGCCCUGCCAAGGAAGCAGGAUGAAAGCCCUGGAGCUAGAGGGAGUGGGUGCUGCUGAUGGGCAGAAAAAGAUGUUUCCAGACAAACACACCCAGGCAUGAAUAAGGUAUGAGAAGUUGGACACGAUGUUGCAUUUCCUGCUCGUGCAUCUGUUGGAUAAGCUGUUUGGAGCCGCCACCGCAGCCAGAGAUUGUUUCUUCUCUACAUCAUGGCAGUCCCUGUGCCUCAGGGAAACAAGACGUGGGAUAGAAGGAACACAAACAAACAAACAAAAAGCCAAGAGAAAUUAUUUUUGCAUUGAAUCAUGCAGGAAAAGGCACACUCCUUUCAGAUGGAACCAAACAGCCAAGAAAAUUCUGAGAAAAAUGUGAUUUAAUGGGAAAACACAUGGAACAAAUGGAUUUUGUUUCCUCAGAGAUGUUUUGCAGAAAGGUCUGUGACUUCUCCAGCACCUCCAGCACCUCCUCCUGUGCUGUCUGCCUUGAGCAUGGGGACCACUGGCAUAGCCAGAGCCCAGUCCUCAUCUCCAUCCUCAAGAUUGCCCUUCAUGGAGAGCUAACCAUGCUCUGUAAACAGUGUGUUAACCUU